Triticum aestivum (bread wheat) is the source of this 620-nucleotide long non-coding RNA. RefSeq lists it as uncharacterized. Lineage: Eukaryota; Viridiplantae; Streptophyta; Magnoliopsida; Poales; Poaceae. The transcript is spliced from 2 exons. The record is from RefSeq and is a predicted model, not a curated record.
GGCCCAGAACGGAACGAGUUCUUCUUGGACAGCAAGUCCGGCAACCCCCUCCGGUGGGGGCCAUAAUAAGAGCGAACGCAAGCCGAAGCCAACCAAACCCAAACCACAAUCCUUCCAAUCCCCUUCCUCGGCGAUCGCCUCCGGUGCUUCCGACCUCCUCCCGUCGCCUCCGCCGAGCUCGAAUCCGUCCCCUCCUCCGCCCGUCCUAGACUAGCUCCAAUGGGUUUCGUCCAGAGCACCUUCUCGCUCCUGGUCGGCGCGGCGGGCGGCAUCUACAUCGCCCAGAACUACGACGUCCCCAACAUCAAGAACUACAUGCAGGGCCUGAUGGGCAAGGCCAAGGAGCUGGACCAUGCCUACAAGAAGCCCGAGGAUGGCAGCAAGAACAAGGCUUAGUCAGCCCGCUCCCCCACCCAAUCCAUCCAUGAGAGCAUGACCGACCGCUUAGCAUGCUAAUUGUUAUUACUAUCACUUAGUAGGUUCACUAUAUAUGAUUUGAGCAAUGACUCUGUCCUCUCCGUCUUAAGACUCUGUCCUGGGGAUGAAAAUAGUUGAUGAUGGCGGCACGUUUGUGAAUGAACCAAUGAAUGGAUGAAAGACCUGUUAGACUGCGUGAUUCA